AACGAACGCUGGCGGCAGGCCUAACACAUGCAAGUCGAGCGCGCCUUUCGGGGUGAGCGGCGGACGGGUUAGUAACGCGUGGGAAUAUGCCCUUUUCUGCGGAAUAGCCUCUGGAAACGGAGAGUAAUACCGCAUACGCCCUUCGGGGGAAAGAUUUAUCGGAGAAGGAUUAGCCCGCGUUAGAUUAGGUAGUUGGUGGGGUAAUGGCCUACCAAGCCUACGAUCUAUAGCUGGUUUUAGAGGAUGAUCAGCAACACUGGGACUGAGACACGGCCCAGACUCCUACGGGAGGCAGCAGUGAGGAAUAUUGGACAAUGGGCGCAAGCCUGAUCCAGCCAUGCCGCGUGCAGGAAGAAAGCCCUAUGGGUUGUAAACUGCUUUUAUUCACGAGGAAUAAAUCUCUUGCGAGGGAUUUUGACGUUAGUGUUUGAAUAAGCACCGGCUAACUCCGUGCCAGCCGCCGCAGUAAGAC
RNAcentral lists this ribosomal RNA (472 nucleotides) under uncultured bacterium. Its description in RNAcentral is "bacterial SSU rRNA". It matches the Rfam family "Bacterial small subunit ribosomal RNA", at positions 29 to 526 of the family's 1533-position model. The record is from RNAcentral.